Molecule: ribosomal RNA, 274 nt
Filed under: uncultured bacterium
Lineage: Bacteria
Description: partial 16S ribosomal RNA
Rfam family: Archaeal small subunit ribosomal RNA
Source: RNAcentral
AAACCAGCACCUCAAGUGGUCAGGAGGAUUAUUGGGCCUAAAGCAUCCGUAGCCUGUUCUGUAAGUUUUCGGUUAAAUCCAUUAGCUCAACUAAUGGUCUGCCGAAAAUACUGUAGAACUAGGGAGUGGGAGAGGUAGACGGUAUUCGGUAGGAAGGGGUAAAAUCCUUUGAUCUAUUGAGGACCACCUGUGGCGAAGGCGGUCUACCAGAACACGUCCGACGGUGAGGGAUGAAAGCUGGGGGAGCAAACCGGAUUAGAAACCCCAGUAGUCC